RNAcentral lists this ribosomal RNA (496 nucleotides) under uncultured bacterium. RNAcentral's name for it is "partial 16S ribosomal RNA". It matches the Rfam family "Bacterial small subunit ribosomal RNA", at positions 29 to 507 of the family's 1533-position model. The record is from RNAcentral.
AUGAACGCUGGCGGCGUGCCUAAUACAUGCAAGUCGAGCGAACAGACGAGGAGCUUGCUCCUCUGACGUUAGCGGCGGACGGGUGAGUAACACGUGGAUAACCUACCUAUAAGACUGGGAUAACUUCGGGAAACCGGAGCUAAUACCGGAUAAUAUAUUGAACCGCAUGGUUCAAUAGUGAAAGACGGUUUUGCUGUCACUUAUAGAUGGAUCCGCGCCGCAUUAGCUAGUUGGUAAGGUAACGGCUUACCAAGGCAACGAUGCGUAGCCGUCCUGAGAGGGUGAUCGGCCACACUGGAACUGAGACACGGUCCAGACUCCUACGGGAGGCAGCAGUAGGGAAUCUUCCGCAAUGGGCGAAAGCCUGACGGAGCAACGCCGCGUGAGUGAUGAAGGUCUUCGGAUCGUAAAACUCUGUUAUUAGGGAAGAACAAAUGUGUAAGUAACUAUGCACGUCUUGACGGUACCUAAUCAGAAAGCCACGGCUAACUACGUG